CUUAAGAAAUGACAGGUUCAGACAUAAACAAGAAAGUUUGAACUUGCUGCUUCCGGUUGCGUACGUUUUCAUGACCCAGAUUCAAAGAUGACAACUGCACUUCCGCUCUGUUUGUCUCAGCAGACAGCUUGCUGACGUGACAUACAACAUAUUUGGAUUUUGUUGUUUAAUAUCGUAUUGAAAGAUUUAAGAGAACCUCAGGAUGAGACAGCUGAAAGGAAAAGUGAAGGAAACAAAAAAAGAAAAGAGAGAAAGAAAAGCAGACAAUUUAAAAAAUAAGGACAAAGUAUGGACAGUUGUCUUACCAGUGAUUCUGACUAUAUCUGUUAUUAUUAUAGCCUAUGUUCUGUUGAGCACAAAAGCUCUCUGAUUUUAAGUCUUGUUUUAUGGUCAAGGGGAGAUAAUCUCUGUUAAUAUCUUUAUAUACUCAAGAUUUCAUGGUCUCAUAUAGGGAUGAAUCAUUAUCAUUGUCAUAACAGUGGAGUUAAUUUGUGUAUUAAUUGUUACUUUAUUCUUAAUCAGAAAUAAUUAUGCGACCAUUUACACUUUGAUACUCAAUGUAUUUUAAGCAUAAUAGAUCAUAUUUAUUGUUGAUAUUUAUCUGGUGAUUUUUUACAUUUUCCAGUUUUAAAAAAUGUGGCAGAUUUUUUUUUUAUAUUUAAGCGAUAAAUGUUGGAUUAAAAACUUGUCUGUUGA
Mytilus trossulus (common blue mussel) is the source of this 696-nucleotide long non-coding RNA. RefSeq lists it as uncharacterized. The transcript is spliced from 2 exons. NCBI's taxonomy places the organism in Eukaryota, Metazoa, Mollusca, Bivalvia, Mytilida, Mytilidae. The record is from RefSeq and is a predicted model, not a curated record.